This 776-nucleotide ribosomal RNA is filed under the name uncultured Neocallimastigales. RNAcentral describes it as "partial large subunit ribosomal RNA". It matches the Rfam family "Eukaryotic large subunit ribosomal RNA", at positions 24 to 614 of the family's 3401-position model. Lineage: Eukaryota; Fungi; Neocallimastigomycota; Neocallimastigomycetes; Neocallimastigales. The record is from RNAcentral.
UAUCUCUGUAGAGUCUGCAUAUCAAUAAGCGGAGGAAAAGAAACUAACUAGGAUUCCCUCAGUAACGGCGAGUGAAGCGGGAAGAGCUCAAAUUUGAAAUCUUCAAGGUUUUACCUUGACGAAUUGUAGUUUAAAGAAGUGUUUUCUGUUGGAGCUUUUGGUAAAAGUUCUUUGGAAUAGGACAUCAUAGAGGGUGAGAAUCCCGUAUUUGACCAUUAUUUCCAGCUUUGUGAUACACUUUCAAAGAGUCGGAUUGUUUGGGAAUGCAGUCCAAAAUGGGUGGUAAAUUUCAUCUAAAGCUAAAUAUUGGCGAGAGACCGAUAGCGAACGAGUACCGUGAGGGAAAGAUGAAAAGAACUUUGAAAAGAGAGUUAAACAGUACGUGAAAUUGUCAAAAGGGAAGCGUUUGACACCAGUAGUUGUUUUCUCGAAAAUCAAUUAAAAAGUGUUGGAUUUUGUAUUGUUAAGACCUUAUCAGCUUACUGUACUCUUUUCCUGCUCUUUUUAAUGCACUUUUCGUUUAACAAGUCAACAUCAAUUUCUUUUGUUGUAAAAGAGUCAUUGGAAGGUGGCUUUCACUUCGGUGAAAGUGUUUAUAGCCUUUGGCUUCUGCAAUCGGAGAGAUUGAGGUCUGCAGCGUAGAUCCUUCGGGGUUAGAUACGUAGAUGCUAAGUUAUAGCCUUUCAUAGACGACUUGUUGACUAUGAUCAGUCAUGUAGCUUACUCGCUUAUGCUAUUUUACCUACGCUUAGGAUGUUGAGUCAUCACACAUCUCU